This is a long non-coding RNA of Hypanus sabinus (Atlantic stingray), 789 nucleotides long. RefSeq lists it as uncharacterized. The record is from RefSeq and is a predicted model, not a curated record. The transcript has 3 exons. NCBI's taxonomy places the organism in Eukaryota, Metazoa, Chordata, Chondrichthyes, Myliobatiformes, Dasyatidae.
UUGGCAGGGACGGGAGCGCGGAAGUGACCGUGUGAGUGAGUCAGGUGAAGGUUCGAUCUAUUCCCCCCCAAAAAAAACAAACUAGCCAGGCCAUGGCCGGAGGAAGACAUUCCUUCACCCCUGCCAAGCUUCUAAGCCGGUCCAAGGACCCCUGAAGGUCUAGGAGAAAUGCUGGAGAACAGAGUCAAAGUAAAACAAAUCUUGCAAUGCUGUCUGACCUGCUGAGUUCCACCAGCAUUUUGUGUGUGUUCCUUUGGGUUUCUAGCAUCUGCAGAUUUUCUCAUGUUUGAGAAGGACUUACUGUGUGCAGUUCUGGUCCCGUGUAUCAACGACACCAUCAUCACUGCAAGCAACCUCUUCCAUUAUGUUCUUGGCUAAGCAUGGAAAAGAAGGUUUGCUGUCUUUUGCACAUUGUUCUAAGCAACAAUGCUGGCUUGAUUUACAGUUUAUACAAAGAGGUGCCAAAAAAGACCAGUAACAUCAUGAAGGAUCCCACAUACCCUCCUCUUGGACUGUUUGUCCAUUCCCAUCAUGGAGGAGGCUACUUAGCAUCUACGCCAAGACAAUCGGACUUAAAAACAGUUACUUUCCCCAAAAAGUAAGGCUGAUGAACAUCUCCACCCACUAAUCCAAGCCUCCACACCCCCAACUCUUCAUCAUGUCUGUCAAUCACCUUAUGUACAGACACACUUGUGCCUAACAUCACUCUAUGGGCAUACAGUCAAUCUGUGUCUAUAAGAUAUCUUAUGUAUUUAUAUUUAUUCUGUUUUUAAAAAUGAUUAUUGUAUU